UCGAGCGGUAACAGAGAGAAGCUUGCUUCUCUGCUGACGAGCGGCGGACGGGUGAGUAAUACUUGGGAACUUGCCUUUAGGAGGGGGACAACCACGGGAAACUGUGGCUAAUACCGCAUAAUGUCUUCGGACCAAAGUAGGGGAUCUUCGGACCUUACACCUAAAGAUGGGCCCAAGCGAGAUUAGCUAGUUGGUGGGGUAAAGGCUCACCAAGGCGACGAUCUCUAGCUGUUCUGAGAGGAUGAUCAGCCACACUGGGACUGAGACACGGCCCAGACUCCUACGGGAGGCAGCAGUGGGGAAUAUUGCACAAUGGGGGAAACCCUGAUGCAGCCAUGCCGCGUGUGUGAAGAAGGCCUUCGGGUUGUAAAGCACUUUCAGUGGUGAGGAAGGCCAUAAGAUUAAUACUCUUGUGGAUUGACGUUAACCACAGAAGAAGCACCGGCUAACUCCGUGCCAGCAGCCGCGGUAAUACGGAGGGUGCGAGCGUUAAUCGGAAUUACUGGGCGUAAAGCGUACGUAGGCGGCUUGUUAAGCAAGAUGUGAAAGCCCCGGGCUCAACCUGGGAAUGGCAUUUUGAACUGGCAAGCUCGAGUUCUGAAGAGGGUGGUAGAAUUUCCUGUGUAGCGGUGAAAUGCGUAGAUAUAGGAAGGAAUACCGGUGGCGAAGGCGGCCACAUGGUCAGAAAC
This 689-nucleotide ribosomal RNA is filed under the name Pseudidiomarina aquimaris. RNAcentral describes it as "bacterial SSU rRNA". It matches the Rfam family "Bacterial small subunit ribosomal RNA", at positions 62 to 740 of the family's 1533-position model. Lineage: Bacteria; Pseudomonadati; Pseudomonadota; Gammaproteobacteria; Alteromonadales; Idiomarinaceae. The record is from RNAcentral.